GUGGCUCCGACUGCGGCAAGGCCCUAGGCCGGUCUUCCCUACCUUCAGGUCAGCGUCAAAUGAAUCUGUCAAGCCGACCUCGCCUGAUGAGCUCCUCAAUUUCAUCUCGGAGCUAAAUGCAUUCUUCCGUGUCAUGGCUGUAUUCACAGUGAUAGAGGUAGAAUUUGUUUGAGUUGUACUUUUCGGGGUGUGAGUGCAUCCUUUCUGACCUUGGCAGCUAGUCCCUAACCUCCAUCAGUACUUGAGUUUUCAAUGCAUUGAGAGGGGCGUAACUAUGAAAUCUUUCAGGGGGACAGCUCCAUCAAACUCUGUGGUUCGGGCUCCUCUGCUUAUGAGCUCGAGGAGGAGUCCGAACACGCCUGUGUCCGGGAGGAGUUCGAGAACGCAA
RNAcentral lists this long non-coding RNA (388 nucleotides) under Elaeis guineensis (African oil palm). RNAcentral's name for it is "long non-coding RNA (EGUI_LNC038671)". Lineage: Eukaryota; Viridiplantae; Streptophyta; Magnoliopsida; Arecales; Arecaceae. The record is from RNAcentral.